RNAcentral lists this unclassified non-coding RNA (245 nucleotides) under uncultured fungus. RNAcentral's name for it is "sequence contains ITS1, 5.8S rRNA gene". The stretch from base 197 to 245 matches the Rfam family "5.8S ribosomal RNA", at positions 1 to 49 of the family's 154-position model. The record is from RNAcentral. Lineage: Eukaryota; Fungi.
UCUCCGUUGGUGAACCAGCGGAGGGAUCAUUAUAGAGUUUUCAAAACUCCCAAACCCAUGUGAACUUACCUAUGUUGCCUCGGCGGAGCCUACCCUGUAGCUACCCUGUAGCGGUUUACCCUGUAACGCACUGCCGGUGGACUUUUAAACUCUUGUUAUUUUAUAGUAAUCUGAGCGUCUUAUUUUAAUAAGUCAAAACUUUCAACAACGGAUCUCUUGGUUCUGGCAUCGAUGAAGAACGCAGC